UACGUAGGUGGCAAGCGUUGUCCGGAAUUACUGGGCGUAAAGGGCGUGUAGGCGGCUAUUUAAGUCAGAUGUGAAAAGCCAGGGCUUAACCCUGGACCUGCAUUUGAGACUGGAUGGCUUGAGGAUCGGAGAGGGCAGUGGAAUUCCCAGUGUAGCGGUGAAAUGCGUAGAUAUUGGGAGGAACACCAGUGGCGAAGGCGACUGCCUGGACGACACCUGACGCUGAGGCGCGAAAGCUAGGGGAGCAAACGGG
RNAcentral lists this ribosomal RNA (253 nucleotides) under uncultured bacterium. RNAcentral describes it as "partial 16S ribosomal RNA". It matches the Rfam family "Bacterial small subunit ribosomal RNA", at positions 524 to 776 of the family's 1533-position model. The record is from RNAcentral.